Molecule: long non-coding RNA, 500 nt
Organism: Pleuronectes platessa (European plaice)
Lineage: Eukaryota; Metazoa; Chordata; Actinopteri; Pleuronectiformes; Pleuronectidae
Exons: 2
Source: RefSeq, a predicted model, not a curated record
GGAGUGGAGGAGUUCAAGGAAACCUCCUCUUGUUGCGAUAAAAGAUUCCGCGCUGUGUUUGUGUGCGCACUUUCAGAUAAUUACAGGAAGGACAUGCUUUGACAAACAGAAGACUCAAGAUUUAAUCCUCCCCCAGUCCGUAUGAGGUAUCUUUAAGGAUGAUGCCAGGUUGCUGUCCAGCAGCUGAAGCUCUGUGCCAGGCCAGCUGACUCAGCAGGACUAUGACCCCAAACGUUGCUGUAAAUCUUCUACAAAACGACUUCAGGGACCUGGAGAGAGUCGUUCACACCAGACAGAAGCAGUUCUACAGGAACAAUGGUCCAAACUUCCUCCGGAUCAUUGUGCAGGUCAGAGCCAAAGCUACCACGACUGUUCGUGUAAGGGCGGCUGCUGCCAGAGGAAGUUCGGCCACUUUAAUCAACUUGGGUUUUGAAAACAUUUUUCCACUGAGACUGUAAAUGUUUGAUGAAUGAGUUCAAUAAAGUCAAAAAGGAUUAUAA